AAUGCAAACAAUAAUGACGGCCAUUUUAGCGAUUACUGACUUGCAACGAGAAUUGAAGUGAUGCAUAUGAUAUCCAUAUUAUCCACAAUUAAAUUGAAAAAAUUACAAAAUUGCUUGAGUAAUAUGCAGAGAGCUAGUAUCUCAUCAUGCACACAGCAAAGAACACAUACACAACUGAAUUUAUUUUGCUACCUUGCUUCCAAAGUUCAACAUGGUAG
Pelobates cultripes (western spadefoot toad) is the source of this 218-nucleotide non-coding RNA. Lineage: Eukaryota; Metazoa; Chordata; Amphibia; Anura; Pelobatidae. The record is from the annotation of a GenBank genome assembly.